Molecule: ribosomal RNA, 468 nt
Filed under: uncultured bacterium
Lineage: Bacteria
Description: partial 16S ribosomal RNA
Rfam family: Bacterial small subunit ribosomal RNA
Source: RNAcentral
GACGAACGCUGGCGGCGCGCCUAACACAUGCAAGUCGAACGGAGCUGAGAGAAGCUUGCUUUUCUUAGCUUAGUGGCGAACGGGUGAGUAACGCGUGAGUAACCUGCCCUGGAGUGGGGGACAACAGUUGGAAACGACUGCUAAUACCGCAUAAGCCCACGAUCCGGCAUCGGAUUGAGGGAAAAGGAUUUAUUCGCUUCAGGAUGGACUCGCGUCCAAUUAGCUAGUUGGUGAGGUAACGGCCCACCAAGGCGACGAUUGGUAGCCGGACUGAGAGGUUGAACGGCCACAUUGGGACUGAGACACGGCCCAGACUCCUACGGGAGGCAGCAGUGGGGGAUAUUGCACAAUGGGGGAAACCCUGAUGCAGCGACGCCGCGUGGAGGAAGAAGGUUUUCGGAUUGUAAACUCCUGUCGUUAGGGACGAUAAUGACGGUACCUAACAAGAAAGCCCCGGCUAACUACGUG